This 2239-nucleotide ribosomal RNA is filed under the name Salmonella enterica subsp. enterica serovar Typhimurium. RNAcentral describes it as "partial 23S ribosomal RNA". It matches the Rfam family "Bacterial large subunit ribosomal RNA", at positions 667 to 2802 of the family's 2925-position model. The record is from RNAcentral. Lineage: Bacteria; Pseudomonadati; Pseudomonadota; Gammaproteobacteria; Enterobacterales; Enterobacteriaceae.
CGGAGGGAAACCGAGUCUUAAUUGGGCGUUAAGUUGCAGGGUAUAGACCCGAAACCCGGUGAUCUAGCCAUGGGCAGGUUGAAGGUUGGGUAACACUAACUGGAGGACCGAACCGACUAAUGUUGAAAAAUUAGCGGAUGACCUGUGGCUGGGGGUGAAAGGCCAAUCAAACCGGGAGAUAGCUGGUUCUCCCCGAAAGCUAUUUAGGUAGCGCCUCGUGAAUUCAUCUCCGGGGGUAGAGCACUGUUUCGGCUAGGGGGCCAUCCCGGCUUACCAACCCGAUGCAAACUGCGAAUACCGGAGAAUGUUAUCACGGGAGACACACGGCGGGUGCUAACGUCCGUCGUGAAGAGGGAAACAACCCAGACCGCCAGCUAAGGUCCCAAAGUCAUGGUUAAGUGGGAAACGAUGUGGGAAGGCCCAGACAGCCAGGAUGUUGGCUUAGAAGCAGCCAUCAUUUAAAGAAAGCGUAAUAGCUCACUGGUCGAGUCGGCCUGCGCGGAAGAUGUAACGGGGCUAAACCAUGCACCGAAGCUGCGGCAGCGAACGUAUCACCCAAGACAACUUUACGGAGUUGACGAUUGACGGAGCGAAGCGACGUCAAAGCGUUCAUUAAAGUCGAGUUGGCUUAGGGAUACGUUCGUUGGGUAGGGGAGCGUUCUGUAAGCCUGUGAAGGUGUGUCGUGAGGCAUGCUGGAGGUAUCAGAAGUGCGAAUGCUGACAUAAGUAACGAUAAAGCGGGUGAAAAGCCCGCUCGCCGGAAGACCAAGGGUUCCUGUCCAACGUUAAUCGGGGCAGGGUGAGUCGACCCCUAAGGCGAGGCCGAAAGGCGUAGUCGAUGGGAAACGGGUUAAUAUUCCCGUACUUGGUGUUACUGCGAAGGGGGGACGGAGAAGGCUAUGUUGGCCGGGCGACGGUUGUCCCGGUUUAAGCGUGUAGGUGUGUGUUCCAGGUAAAUCCGGUUCACUUUAACACUGAGGCGUGACGACGAGGCACUACGGUGCUGAAGCAACAAAUGCCCUGCUUCCAGGAAAAGCCUCUAAGCAUCAGGUAACACGAAAUCGUACCCCAAACCGACACAGGUGGUCAGGUAGAGAAUACCAAGGCGCUUGAGAGAACUCGGGUGAAGGAACUAGGCAAAAUGGUGCCGUAACUUCGGGAGAAGGCACGCUGACACGUAGGUGAAGUGAUUUACUCAUGGAGCUGAAGUCAGUCGAAGAUACCAGCUGGCUGCAACUGUUUAUUAAAAACACAGCACUGUGCAAACACGAGAGUGGACGUAUACGGUGUGACGCCUGCCCGGUGCCGGAAGGUUAAUUGAUGGGGUCAGCGUAAGCGAAGCUCCUGAUCGAAGCCCCGGUAAACGGCGGCCGUAACUAUAACGGUCCUAAGGUAGCGAAAUUCCUUGUCGGGUAAGUUCCGACCUGCACGAAUGGCGUAAUGAUGGCCAGGCUGUCUCCACCCGAGACUCAGUGAAAUUGAACUCGCUGUGAAGAUGCAGUGUACCCGCGGCAAGACGGAAAGACCCCGUGAACCUUUACUAUAGCUUGACACUGAACAUUGAGCCUUGAUGUGUAGGAUAGGUGGGAGGCUUUGAAGUGUGGACGCCAGUCUGCAUGGAGCCGACCUUGAAAUACCACCCUUUAAUGUUUGAUGUUCUAACGUGGACCCGUAAUCCGGGUUGCGGACAGUGUCUGGUGGGUAGUUUGACUGGGGCGGUCUCCUCCUAAAGAGUAACGGAGGAGCACGAAGGUUGGCUAAUCCUGGUCGGACAUCAGGAGGUUAGUGCAAUGGCAUAAGCCAGCUUGACUGCGAGCGUGACGGCGCGAGCAGGUGCGAAAGCAGGUCAUAGUGAUCCGGUGGUUCUGAAUGGAAGGGCCAUCGCUCAACGGAUAAAAGGUACUCCGGGGAUAACAGGCUGAUACCGCCCAAGAGUUCAUAUCGACGGCGGUGUUUGGCACCUCGAUGUCGGCUCAUCACAUCCUGGGGCUGAAGUAGGUCCCAAGGGUAUGGCUGUUCGCCAUUUAAAGUGGUACGCGAGCUGGGUUUAGAACGUCGUGAGACAGUUCGGUCCCUAUCUGCCGUGGGCGCUGGAGAACUGAGGGGGGCUGCUCCUAGUACGAGAGGACCGGAGUGGACGCAUCACUGGUGUUCGGGUUGUCAUGCCAAUGGCACUGCCCGGUAGCUAAAUGCGGAAGAGAUAAGUGCUGAAAGCAUCUAAGCACGAAACUUGCCCCGA